RNAcentral lists this ribosomal RNA (490 nucleotides) under uncultured bacterium. RNAcentral's name for it is "partial 16S ribosomal RNA". It matches the Rfam family "Bacterial small subunit ribosomal RNA", at positions 30 to 507 of the family's 1533-position model. The record is from RNAcentral.
AUUGAACGCUGGCGGCAGGCCUAACACAUGCAAGUCGAACGGUAACAGGAAGCAGCUUGCUGCUUCGCUGACGAGUGGCGGACGGGUGAGUAAUGUCUGGGAAACUGCCUGAUGGAGGGGGAUAACUACUGGAAACGGUAGCUAAUACCGCAUAACGUCGCAAGACCAAAGAGGGGGACCUUAGGGCCUCUUGGCAUCGGAUGUGCCCAGAUGGGAUUAGCUAGUAGGUGGGGUAACGGCUCACCUAGGCGACGAUCCCUAGCUGGUCUGAGAGGAUGACCAGCCACACUGGAACUGAGACACGGUCCAGACUCCUACGGGAGGCAGCAGUGGGGAAUAUUGCACAAUGGGCGCAAGCCUGAUGCAGCCAUGCCGCGUGUAUGAAGAAGGCCUUCGGGUUGUAAAGUACUUUCAGCGGGGAGGAAGGGAGUAAAGUUAAUACCUUUGCUCAUUGACGUUACCCGCAGAAGAAGCGCCGGCUAACUCCGUG